RNAcentral lists this ribosomal RNA (498 nucleotides) under uncultured bacterium. RNAcentral describes it as "partial 16S ribosomal RNA". It matches the Rfam family "Bacterial small subunit ribosomal RNA", at positions 30 to 523 of the family's 1533-position model. The record is from RNAcentral.
AUUGAACGCUGGCGGAAUGCUUUACACAUGCAAGUCGAGCGGCAGCGCGGGGCAACCUGGCGGCGAGCGGCGAACGGGUGAGUAAUGUAUCGGAACGUGUCCUGUCGUGGGGGAUAGCCCGGUGAAAACCGGAUUAAUACCGCAUACGAUCGAGAGAUGAAAGUGGGGGACCGCAAGGCCUCACGCGAUAGGAGCGGCCGAUAUCUGAUUAGCUAGUUGGUGGGGUAAAGGCCCACCAAGGCCUCGAUCAGUAGCUGGUCUGAGAGGAUGAUCAGCCACACUGGGACUGAGACACGGCCCAGACUCCUACGGGAGGCAGCAGUGGGGAAUUUUGGACAAUGGGGGCAACCCUGAUCCCGCCAUUCCGCGUGAGUGAAGGAAGCCUUCGGGUUGUAAAGCUCUUUUGUCCGGGAAGAAACGGUUUUGGCUAAUAACCAAGACUACUGACGGUACCGGAAGAAUAAGGACCGGCUAACUACGUGCCAGCCGCCGCCGUAA